UAGGGAAUCUUCGGCAAUGGGGGCAACCCUGACCGAGCAACGCCGCGUGAGUGAAGAAGGUUUUCGGCUCGUAAAGCUCUGUUGUUAAAGAAGAACACGUAUGAGAGUAACUGUUCAUUCGAUGACGGUAUCUAACCAGCAAGUCACGGCUAACUACGUGCCAG
Molecule: ribosomal RNA, 164 nt
Filed under: uncultured bacterium
Lineage: Bacteria
Description: partial 16S rRNA
Rfam family: Bacterial small subunit ribosomal RNA
Source: RNAcentral